Molecule: ribosomal RNA, 167 nt
Filed under: uncultured rumen bacterium
Lineage: Bacteria
Description: partial 16S ribosomal RNA
Rfam family: Bacterial small subunit ribosomal RNA
Source: RNAcentral
UACUUGAGGCAGCAGUAGGGAAUCUUUCACAAUGGGCGAAAGCCUGAUGGAGCAACGCCGCGUGCAGGAUGACGGCCUUCGGGUUGUAAACUGCUUUUAUAAGCGAGAAAUAUGAUGGUAACUUAUGAAUAAGGACCGGCUAACUACGUGCCAGCAGCCGCGGUAAU